This is a long non-coding RNA of Ahaetulla prasina, 12976 nucleotides long. RefSeq lists it as uncharacterized. The record is from RefSeq and is a predicted model, not a curated record. The transcript is spliced from 3 exons. Lineage: Eukaryota; Metazoa; Chordata; Lepidosauria; Squamata; Colubridae.
UUCCUCAGCCAGCUUUGCUUUGCUGGCUGAGGAAUUCUGGGAGUUGAAGUCCACAAGUCUUAAAAGAGCCAAGUUUGCAGACCCCUGACAUAGGCUAGUGUCACAGGAUGUGGCUGUAGUAAUUCCCUAAUGCCAUAUCCUUCCAAAAUUAUAUUGGUCUGUAGUUUUCCCACCCAUUAUUUCUGGUGAAAGGAACGUCUCACUGUGUUUCAGUAAAUGGCUGAGGGAUUUCUCUGUAUUUCUACAUUUACCAUGUGAUCAGAGUUUGGUAUUCUAUUAUUGUGAUCUUGAAUACGGAAUUUGCUACAGAAGAGAAAUCGCAAUGAAUGAAAUCUAGACACUAAGUGCAAUGCUAAAUGAAAUAUCCUCAUGAUUGGAAUAAUCCUUUAAGCUUCUGUUGGAAGAAAUAUCCAUCUGGGUUCAGUUCCAAGUGGGGAAAAAGACACUGGAAACAUGGAGAGUGCUUGGAAAGAUGGUUUAAUGGUGGGCAGGUUCACAUGGCUUGAGUUCCUGAACAGAAAAGAGACGAGAUACUGAGCAUGCCUUGGUUUUAUGCUUUCUCUGAGCUUUGAACUUCCUGGGGCACAGGAAGAGUAUUCUGAUUGGUUGUCAGACUCCCAGGGGGUGGGGGUCUUAGCUAGCCUUGCUGGCUGAUGUAAUCUUCCCAGGAGCCAUGUGGUGAGUUUCUGUUGCUAGAUGGGUCCUAUUGUGUUGCAGAUGGUGGUCCAUUGACAAAGGUGGGGAGAAUGAGUUUCUACCUCUGGCCCAUUGACAAAGGUUGGGGAAGGCAGGAAGCUGCAGGGAGCUGCUUUGUUCUUAAAACAUGUUUCUCCAUUUCUCAUCCAGGGAAAUAUAUUCUGCCUUUUUAAUGUUUCCUAAAAUAUUUCAUUCUUCUAGGAGAGGGGUGGGUGCUAACUUCCUACACUUCCUUCCAUUGUCUUGUUGGAUUUCCUUUAUGUGUUUUUUUCCUUUGCUUAUUGAAGUCAAUGACCCAGUAUUGGGUAUAGAUAAACUCCAAAUCUUAACAUUGCUGUUGGGAUUAUGUUAUAGCCCAGGGGUCCCCAACCUUUUGGUCCUCAGGGACCACUAAAUUCAUAAUUUUAAAUCCCAUGGACCACUAAUAUGAUCUGCCUAAUGACCGGCUGGGUGGGCAUGGCUAAGUGGUCAUAUGACUGGGUGGGCAUGGCCAAUUCAAUGUCAUUCACAUCGAGGGGUGCCUCGCCAAUCUCUACCCACCCUUCACCUCCCAGCCACUCUUCACAUCCCCAGGCUGCUUAGGGCCCCAACAGUUGUUGGAGCUAGGCAACCACCAUGAGAAAGAGUUGGCAAAACAGCUGGCUCAGUUCAAAUUGGAUCUGACUGAGAAGGAGGCUCAGCAGAAGCACCUCAUUCAGGACUACAAGCAUAGGCUUUCCAAGCAGAGGGAAGACCUGCGAGAGUGCAAGGCCACAUACUGGCCCCUGGAGGCUCAGCGGGCUGAGAUGGUCAUGAUACAUGACCCAUGAUACAGUCCCACUGGAACAAGGCCCUCAGGCCCUUUUCCACUAGUGGUUCUUCCCUCCAUCCUUCGCCCAAAGCCCCACACCAUGAGGCUGAAACAGACCCCAAGUUGGAAUUUCUGCCUCCCUCUGACCCUCACAAAAAGAUCCCGAAGGGGGACAUACACUGCAUUAACCCAAGCAUUCAUUCCAUGUAUCCGGCCCAGGGACCGUAGUUUGAGGACCUCUGAUUUAGUGCAAUAUAAAAAAUGUAAAUAAUUUUUUUGCGGACCACCAAAAAUUUUUCGCAGACCACCAGUGGUCCACGGACCACCAGUUGGUGACCGCUGUUAUAGCCUAUUGUUUUUAUUUCCUUGAAUAAAAAGUAGUAAACUAUCUGAUAGUAUAAAUGCUGAGGCUAGGUUGAAUAAAUCGUAUAUAUUUGGGUGGUCUUGGAAAAUUAGUUAUAUUGUCACUUUUCCUUAAAAAAGCUCCUUCAUUUCCUAAUUAAUAUUGGCAGUAAUUUUUCUCCCAAUAAAUCUCUAAUAGUACUUAUUUGUACGUACAACCAUCAUUCACUAAAAUUUGUCGGUAAUCAUAGAAAGCAGUGUUCCCAGUGAUGAAAUCCGGCCGGAUCUUUCCGACUUGUGCAAACUGGUAGCGCCAGCAGCAGGAGGCUCUGCCCACUUGCUGGGACAUCAUUAUGUCCCAUUUUUGACUCUCUGCACAUGCUUUCAUGUGCUCCCAUUCCCGAACUGGUAGCAAAGGUAAGUGGAUUUCACCGCUGAGUGUUUCAUAUGAAUGUUAACCUUUCUUAAGAUUCUUUGUGUUACAAUUUAAAAAUAAAGAAACAGAUUUUCAAAGGUUGGGAUUGCCUUAUUGACUAAAAAAUUAUUUCAGUAUUCAAAGGAGCCUCUGGUGGCUCAGACUGCUAAGACAGUCUGUUAUUAACACAGCUGCUUGCAAUUACUGCAGGUUCAAGUCCCACCAGGCCCAAGGUUGACUCAGUCUUCCAUCCUUUAUAAGGUAGGUAAAAUGAGGACCCAGAUUGUUGGGGGCAAUAAGUUGACUUUGUAUAUAAUAUACAAAUGGAUGAAGACUAUUGCUAACAUAGUGUAAGCCGCUCUGAGUCUUCGGAGAAGGGCGGGAUAUAAAUGCAAAUAAAAAAAAAGAAAGAAAGAAAUUAAAUUCUUAGAGGAUAUUAAAAAACUGAUCCAAUGUGAUCAGAAGGCAGCUCAUGUUUUUGUUUUCUCUAAAGAACUCCACCCACUCUAUAACAGAAAACACCCAGAGGCUUCCUGUUUGAGUCCCUUCAGAAUACUGCAUCAACAUUAAAUAAGAUUGGAUAGGGUUAGAAUGGGUUGGGCGAUACCACUUGCCUUGGCAGUAAUUCACUGUAAAGUGAAACUGUAUCCAGAUAUGAGCGGGAAGUAAUUUGUCUGAACAAGAACUUAAAUUAUAUUAAAUAUGGAAAAUAGCUUUACAUAAUAAGAAUGUUCGAUCUUUAAAAAUGUAUCACGUUUUAGUUUAGAUCUUCAUUUAUGUGAACACUGUAGCAAUAUUGUAAAUUAUUCCUAUCUGUUGUUCAUAUGAUAAGAUUCUGUAUGUUCAUUAUUCCCUAUGCCCUAAUCUGGUGCAAUAACAUGAUACCUGUAAUUGCAAAAGAGUUCCAAGUUCAUCAUUACAUAAUCAUAAAGUUGUAUAUGUGAAUUGCUUAACAGAUUUCAUAACCCAGUACCUCAUUCUGUUCCUUUAAUCUGCACAUGAUUAAUUCUGUAGCCAACAAAAUAUUUUGCAGAUAACGAACAGACCUAUUUUGCCACCUAAAUAAAUGAUUACUCCUCAUAAACAAGAACUGAUAAUGUCCAAAUUACCAUCCCUACAGUCAGGUACACAUAGUUUUCUGGAGAAAACUUUGUGCUAAUUAAUACUUUAAAUAAGCUACAUACAUUUUCCAUUCAAGCUGUUAGCACAAAUAUAAAAUUGGUAGGAUUUGUAUCUGACCAUCUAUUUACUGAGAAGAUCUGUGUUUUCAUUAUUGUACAAAUAUUAAGUAGCACUAAUCAAAAAAUAUCUGUAAUAAAAACUAAAAUCCUAUAAUGUAAAAAAAAUGCAAAAAUCAAAUUUCUAUCACAACAGAUGUAAACAUUCAUGCAUGAUGGGAAAAUUACAGGCAGAAAAGAAUUUUUUCAUCCUCAGCCAAGAUUUGAACUUGCACUAAUAACAAGAGUUCUUCAUUAAUAGGAUAUAUCAGCUAGCCAUUCAAGUGAGAUAAUAUAUUAUAUUUAGCCAUGAGUAGUUUCCUUGGCUGCACUUAAUGCAGUAUACAGGUUUUCCUCAAUUUACAAUCAAAAUUGGGGGCACCACUUUCUAUGGUAUUCAGAGAAGUUGUCCAGUGAGUCCCAUCCAAUUUCACUACUUUUUUGCUAUGGUUAAAUGAAUCAUGCAGCUAUUAAAUAAAUUCAGCUUCUCCAUUAACUCUGCUUCUCAGAAGCCCUCUAUGAAUAAACGGCAACCCUGUGGAAUCUCCUGCCCCCAACACCACAGUUUUUGUAAGUCACUGAAAAUGAGGGGAUGGCCAUAUUAAUUAAUUAAAUAAAUAAAGCCAUUGUAAAUACAUGCCAGUUGCCAAGCAUCCAAAAUUUGAUCAUAUAAUCACAGGUACGCUGGAAUGGUGAUAAGCUUGAGGAUCAGUUAUAAGUCACUUUUCAAUGUUGCUAUAAUUUCAAACAGUCGUUAAAUGAAUGGUCAUAAAUUGAGAAGUGCUUAUAUAAAGAUAGUUUUUACAUUCUAGUUUAUGAUUUAGUGUGAGCACAGUGUUGAGUACACCAUAAGCUAAUAUGGAAUUAAGUAUUAUCACACAGUUGCUACUUUAAACAAUUAUAAAAAUUAUAUAAAAUUAUUAAAAUAGAACAGGAAUAGUUCUCUUAUUCUAUUUUUGCAAUUUAUCAAUCUGUUUCUUUGUGCAUUUAAUCCUUCUGCUGCAUUCCUGAUUGAUUUUUUAUAGGACUGGUACUCCUAUUUCCUCCCUAAGAAGUACAAUGGGCCACAGCCGGAAUUUGAUUUCCAGAGCAUCUGAUCCUGCCCUCUCGGCUCCCAUAUUGAACAAGGAAUUGGAGGAGAAAAGUGAUAAAACAUAACUCUGCAUUACCAUGAGCCAAGAUCAUCUGGAAAGUUACAAUAUAUUCAAAUUCAGAUGAGUGGCUGGCUAGAUUCUCUUCAUAUCUCACAGCUUCAUAGCCUAUUUGUAUUUUAUGCUAAGCCAUAAUUUGUUUAGCCACAGUUUAUAGAAGAAACUACAUUUGGCUGCAGGCUGCAGGCACCAAUAUACUUAACAGAAAUAGAAUGAACUACUUUAUGCUUUAGUGAGAUGUAUUCAACCACAAAAGGUAGCCAGCCGCAAAAAGUAUAAGAUGCUAACCACUUUGUGUCAUUGCAUUUCUAUCCUGUUUCAAGCAAAUGCCUUAACAGACACAAUGUGCAGGAAAGAAUAAUAACAAUUCCCCAGGAUGGAAGUUCGGACUGCAAUUCAGUUAUAAAAAUGCUUUGGAUUACAGCCCUUUCAAGUAUGGAAAACACAUAAUUCUUUCCUCUGUCAUUCCUUCAGUAAGUAACAGGCUUCCACACAGUGGCUGUUUCCAAAUCCGUUGAGAAGAAUAUUACAAAGUUAGAAAGGAAAAAUCAUAACUUUGGAAUUUACCAAAUUAUAUUUAUUGGGAGGAAUCCUUCCAAGCAGCAGAGUGUUUUGACAGCAACUGGUCAAAAUGUGGAUGGAUUUUUUUGAGUGUGUUUUUAUUUACUAAUUUGAAAAAGUCUGAAUAUAUGGGAUUUCAUUCAAGGCAUAUUGAUGACAUUGGCAGACUUUAAUAAAUAUGUAACAUAUUACUUUAUAUUAAAGGAUGAUGUACAGAGUUGAAACAUAUACCAUAACUGUGAUAGGUAAUCCAUGUUAUAAAAAAAACAUUUGGUUAAUUGAUGAUUUAUGCAUAAGGUCUUUAGGUUGAUUCGCAUUCCUAAAUAAAAUAAUUAUAUAAAAAUCAUGAAAUAAAUUGUUAUGUGCCAUUUAUAAAAAAGGAGGCAUAAAAGUCCUCCUUUGUUUUAAAUCACCCCUUCACAUGUCCAACAGAACAACCUGGCUCACAUUUUGUGGUAAAUCUUGUAGUAAAUCCAUGUAGCAUACUAAAUCAAAAAAUAAUUGUGACUUAGCACAAUAUGCAUGCUGUAAAUGAAUUGUGAUUUAAAACAAAAGUUUUAAAGGAAUAGCUUGUUCUAUAUAUUGCAGUGUCUGAAGCAAUUUGUAGAAAAAUUGGAGAAGGAACUGAAACAAGUUUUUGAUCUCCUGCUUCUCAGAAAUGUUCUAUAUCUUAAACUGCUUUUAUAUUCACUGAAUUAAAAAAUAUAGGUGCUCUAAUGGUUAGGUAGAAUUACCCACUUUACCUGUCCUUCAGGUGGAUGGAAUGAAGUAAUACUGUAAAAUAAUUGUUUUGUUUGUUUCUCAUAUUUCUAAACUGCCUAUCUCCCUCAGAGACUGGGAGUUCUAACAUUGUUUUUUCACUGCCAUGAGUGCAGAGCAAAUCUUUUUCAGAACAAACAGACUAGGGAAGUAAUUAAACUUGAUUUUGAAAAAGAUUUGAAGGUGCCAGAGAAAGCUGUUCUGUACAUACAGAAUGGAAGACAAGAAUCUUCAAGAUCAGCAUCCAUUAAAAAGCUGAGGUAGACGUGGUCUGUGAAUGAUGCAUCUGGCCCGUGGCCCUUCAGUUUGACACCCCUGCCUUAGAAGAAUAAGUGUUGCCCCUACCACAAUUUCCUCAGAAUAAAGACAGUUAUUUGUGUUUGCUGCUGAAGCAACAACUGUGUUGAUUUCUUGUGGAAUCAGUUUGCAAAUUCUACAAUGUCCUCAACCUCUGGUGGCUCAGCAGAUUAAGUCUGUCUGUUAUUAACACAGCUGCUUGCAAUUACUGCAAGUUCAAGUCCCACCAGGCCCAAGGUUGACUCAGCCUUCCAUCCUUUAUAAGGUAGGUAAAAUGAGGACCCAGAUUGUUGGGGGCAAUAAAAAGUUGACUUUGUAUAUAAUAUACAAAUGGAUGAAGACUAUUGCUUAACACAGUGUAAGCCGCCCUGAGUCUUCGGAGAAGGGCGGGAUAUAAAUUCAAAUAAAAAAAAUAAAAAAAAAUAAAACCUGUAAUAAUUCUGUGAUAUUGUGGCCGGACUCCAGUAAUAUUUUUCCUUUAAAAAUAAAUAAGGGAAGUAAAUACUACAAACUUGUUUUGUUCCUGAUAGAUCUUGCAGAAAAGAAGCCUCUUCACAGAAAAGUAUUUGGCAGAGUUGCAAAUGUUUUGCCCAAUGUUCAGCUUAGUUUCCUAUCAUUCUUGUUCUGUUGAUUGAGUUCCUUAAGCUGUUUACAUCUGUGACCAAUUUCAUUUAUGAAUCCAAAAGCCUUAAUUGCAGUGGUUUAAAAAAAAAAACACUGACUUAAUGUAACAAGCGGAACAUAGCCUUUUGUUUUUUCCAAAACCUUUCUAUCUGGGAAGUCAUUAAAAUGACAGAAAUCUAUGACCAAAUAUCCUAUAUAAACACAAUAAUCCACUCCAAUUUCUGGAUUUGCCAGUUGGUUUAUUUUGAUAUUAUGUUUAUUGCCUUAAUUAUAUGUUAAUAUAAAUGACAGCAUAUAAACUUCAGAAUUCAUAAAUACUAGGGUCUACCCUACUAUAAGACUGUGACUUACACACAAGGCAGGCACAUGCUUUUCAUAUUAAUAUUUAGGUUUUAUUGUACAUUCAGUCAAAGUAGUUUUAAAAUAGAUUGACUUCAUUUUGUUGUAACAAAAGAAUACAUUGUUCAGGUAAUAAAUAAUUAUUUAAGUGACUUGGUGAGAGUUAUGAUUAAAGCAGAAACUUAAAGUUGUAAAAUUUGUGAUUAAGAUAUAUUGUAUUUUAACUUGCAAAUAUUUCAACCCAUCACAAUUUUGCUGAUAGAACUGAUUUGUGAAUGGACACUACAUAAUGGAAACAGCCAUCUUAGUUUUUUAGCGUUUUUCCAAGUGUUUUCCUUUCAACAGUUAUACGCAAAAAUUAAUCACAUUAAUAGAAGCAGUAGUAUAGGAGUAAGCAGAAGUCUCAGAAAGUGACCAUAUAGAGCUAAAAUUUGGAGUCCUCAUCCUUUUAUAUGAAUUGCUGUUUAUGGUCGGGAAAUACUUUUUUUGUUAUACCCAAUAUAAUUUACAAGUAAUAAUGUUAUUUUAGGCUUAUAUUUAUUUCAUAUUAGUAGGAUAUUUGCCCCCAUUUUAGCUAGGUAAAUUUCAUCAUAUACAUUUUAUUAUUUUAUUAUAUUUCUUUAUAAGUAGCUCAACAUUCUUUAACAUUUCUUCCUACUACUACUUUCCCCACACAAGAACCCUAUGAGGUGGGAUGGGCUGAAUCUGAAAAUGACUGGCUGAAAAUUUAUGUCUAAGGCGGUACUAGAACUCCUAGUCUGGUUUCUAGUUCGGUGUCUUAACCAAGAAAGAAAAAUGUCUUGCUGUCGCCCUUUCAAAUUCAUGCCUCGCUCUCUUUUUUGCAUUUAUCAGAUAAAACAGAACAAAGAGGGGGGAAAACCACCAUAAUAGAAAAAGGAAGAAAAAAGUUAAAAUAAUACAAAACUUACGUGUGUAAUUUUUGUGUGUGUGUAUUAUACUAGAUAGAAUCUACAGUAUGUUUCACAAUAGUUCCAAUAUAGGAUUUAAUCAGUGGUGGGAUUCACGUAAUUUAACAACCGGUUCUCUGCCCUAAUGAUUUCUUUCAACAACCAGUUUGCCAAACUGCUCAGAAAGUUAACAACUGGUUCUCCUGAAGUGGUGCGAACUGGCUGUAUCUCACCACUGGGUUUAAUUAUUUAAUUGUGUUGGAACUAUAAUCUGUAAAUGAAAGCCACUUUAGUGAUUAAGGGAUCAGGUUAGAGACUAGGAUUUCUGGUCUUACCUUAAGCACAUAGCCAAUUUCGGCAAAUCACUUUCUCUCAGCCCUAGAAUGGAGGUAAUGGCAAACUGUUUCUGAAAAACCUUGCCUAUAAAACAGCAAGGACUUGCCCAGGCAGUCAUCCAGAAUCAGACAUAAUUGUAUGGAAGAAAAAUAAAAGCUGUAAGUAACACGUUUAUAAACUACAAGAACAUCAGAUCUUCAAUCUGCUGAGAAGAUUGGGGUCAUCAAUGUAUCUUUCCAAUGUUAAAGUACUGGGGAUGCUCUGUGUGUUUUAAGAACAUUAGGGGCAAUCCUGUAACAUGCUUUUUAUAUGUCAAGGAAGGGAGGGGGAAGCUUUUCAAUACAGAGUAACUAUUGAUAUUAUCCAGAUGUAUGUAGACUAUAACUAGAAAAAAAACAAAAUAAAGUCCAGUCUUCGAAGUACAGACAAUGCCAAAAGCAAUUUAUGACACGGCCAGAUUAUCUGCUUGCUGUUCAGAGUUCUUUCAGAAAGGAAAAAUUUCUCUUGGGCAUCCCAUCUGCAUCUGUACUUUGUGGAGUUCUACAUUGGAAAGCAGCAUCUAAUGUUAAGGGAAACAUGCCCGACAUCACAAAUCAUUGUAAGGAAUUAGACUGAAAUCCUAUACAGCACAUUUUAGUCUGAACUGAAUUCUGGAAUGCCUUCAUGUAAGUAAACAUGCUCAGGAUUACGCGGCUAAAAGGCAGCAGUUGAUGGCCACAGUAAAGCAUGAUUUACUUGCACACAUUUUGCUUACCUGCUUAAUCAAGUUAUGUGAUCUGUGCAAAUGCUUAUUUGAGGAAAAAUAUUGCAUUGAAAGAAUAGAUUUGUGCUGGCUUAGUGUAAUUUCUUUAAAUCUGGCUUUAUAUAUACCGGUAUAUGCCUUUAUGCUGCUUUUUAUUUGUAUUUUUAUUUGUUAAUAUGCUUUCAUUUUUAUAGCUGUUUUCUAAGGCUUUAAUUUUGAUUCAUGGCUCAUGUGCAUUGUUACAUUGUUUUACGUUAUUGGAGGGUUUUUACUAAAGGUUUAAAGGCAAAAUAAAACAGAAAGGAAGGAAGAGUUUAAUUAAUAUUUGGACUUCUUCCAAAAUAUCCAGUAUGGGUUAGGAUAGAAAAACCAAAAGUAUAUUUAUAUCCUUAUUAUCUACCAACUUUUUAGAAGACUCAGUUAUGUUUGAUGUUCCUUGGAAACAUUUCCAUAAUUAUUAAUGAAAAUUCAAUAUUUAUUGAUGUAGAUAUUUCUGUAUAACUUUGAAAGCUUCUGAAAUGGAGACUUCACAAAUUUGACUAACCAUUGGUAAAACUUGUCUCAUAGCACUUUUCUCUUUCUAUGGUAAUGCUUUGCACAAUCACAUAUACAGUAUAUGAGUGACAUGUAGAGCACUUCACAAUGCAUUGUUUGCAAUAUACUAAUAUAACAAUUUGCAUUUUCCCUAAACUAGGAAUUGAUAAAUGGAUAUUUCAAUAUAAGAAUUUGUACCAUCUGGGUUCAGAAGAACUCAAAUUAUUAUAUAAUUAUUCCACAUUAUCUUAUAAAAAAUAAAGUCCUAGAUAUCCUGUAAAAUUAGCAAGAGGGGAAAAGAAAUAAUUUCAUUUUAAAAAUCUGGGAAUUCACUGACAUGUUUCAGCUAGAAUAUAAAGGUACUGAACUUAAAGGUGUAAAAAUAAAUGGGAAGUUUCCUUCAUAUUAAAAAGCUUACAUGGAGACCAACCUCAAAGUCUGUUAAUGUUUUUACAUUAAUAUAGUCCUUCUCUCUAUUCUGUAUUACACCAAACUCCCUAAUUUUAUCUUCCUGUUAUAUUGUCCUUUGCUGUACUUUACUGGUACAAUAUGACAAUUUUAGGCCAUUCUAAGAUAAUAUGAUGCCUGACACAUGAUUGCACUGUAAUGACACCUGCCCAGAGAAUAAUUAGUCCACCUUUUUUUCUCUUUUAAUAACAGGAAUUUCAUACAUUACAGAUGGCAUUUUUCAUACCAGACUCCAAUGAUGUAUGCUGGAAACAAGCCAAAGUGUCUGCAAAAACUGUGAGAAAUUCAAGACAGACAUUUGAGUGGAAGGAGCUUAACUUCUUUCUUUUCCUCCACUAAGCCAGCCUUGCACAUUCAUUAAGCAACAUGCUUAUCUUGGUUUCCAAGAAUCAUGACAUUGAGAUUGUUUCUAUAUGCUUUUAGGUUGGCUAACUGAAGCUCCAGGGAUGCGGUAGCUCAGUGACUAAGACGCUGAGCUUGUCAGUCAAAAGGUUGGCUGUUCAGUGGUUCAAAUCCCGAAUGCCGCGGAACAGGGUGAGCUCCCGUUAUUUGUCCCAGCUUCUGCCAACCUAGCAGUUCGAAAGCACAUAAAAAAUGCAAGUAGAAAAAUAGGGACCACCUUUGGCAUUUAGUCAUGCCAGCCACAUGACCACAGAGACGUCUUCGGACAGCACUGGCUCUUCGACUUUGAAACAGAGAUGAGCACCACUCCCUAGAGUCAGGAAUGACUAGGACAUAUAUGUGAGGGGAACCUUAACCUUUACCUUUACCUUAACUGAAGCUCCAUAAAUUUAUAAAGUUUCUUAUAAAUUAACUGCAUGUUAAUUUUUUUGUUAAUAAAUUAAUUGCAUGUUAAUUUUUUUUUUUAAUUUAUAUCCCGCCCUUCUCCGAAGACUCAGGGUGGCUUACAUUGUGUAAGGCAAUAGUCUCAUCCUAUUUGUAUAUUUAUAUACAAAGUCAACUUAUUGCCCCCCCAAUGAUCUGGGUCCUCAUUUUACCUACCUUAUAAAGGAUGGAAGGCUGAGUCAACCAAUUUUCAGUUUUAAUACAAAAUUUUACCAUAACAUUCAUUCAACUUUUGCCAUCCCCAAGAAAACAAGUUACAAAGAAUCAUUCUUUACUAUAAAAAAAAAGAAAGCCCAAAGUCAGGUCUCCUCAGCAAAUUAAAAUGUUAAAAAGUAUUUUAUGUAACAUGUAGAUGGUAUCAUUUUUAAUUUUCUUACUUAUUUUUGUUUUUAUUUUUAUGAUAUCCCAGCGGUGAAUUGCACUUACCUUCACUACCGGUUCAGGAACGUGAGCACGCACACCUCUUCUGCGCAUGCGCAGAGGGUCAAAAACAGCAUGUAAUGAUGUUCCGGUGGGUGGGUAGGGCCUCCUACCACCGGCGCUACCAGUUCACGCAAGCCAGAUAGAACUGGCUAAAUUUCACCACUGCUAUGUCCCCAAAUAAACUGAAGGUUUUUUCCCCCCCUUUGUUAUUCCCCCAUUAUUGCUCAUCUUGCUUCCUGUCUCCUGAUCGAAACAUUGCAGGUCUUCUCCUCCUCCCUCUCCUCCCCCUCCUCCCCCUCCUCCUCCUCCUCCUCCUCCUCUUCCUCCUCAGACAUGUACAUAGAAAUACAUUAAAAUAUUCAUUUUGCCAUAUGUACAUAAUCGUGUUUUCGAAUUAACAUGGAUUCCUUCUCUAGACAAAACCCUGCAGUUUUUGAGAACAUUUUCACAAACGGCUUGUCAUUGGCUUCUUCCUAUUGCUAAUGGAGAGUGACUGCCCUAAGUUCACCCAACUGUCUUUUAGCCUAAAACAGAACUAGACCCUCACUGUUUCUAGCUAAUGUCUGGCCCUCUUCAGUUAAAUGCUCUCCCAAAAUGCCCAAAGCAAAAAAGAAUGAAGCCUUCAAAAUAGAGCCUUAUGCACUGUCUAGUGAUCUUACGACUGUAUGACUAUAACUUGUUGCUGGCAAUCCUUAUGAUUUAUAUUGAUAUACUGAUCAUCAAUUGUGUUGUAAAUGUUGUACCUUGAUGAAUGUAUCUUUUCUUUUAUGUACACUGAGAGCAUAUGCACCAAGACAAAUUCCUUGUGUGUCCAAUCACACUUGGCCAAUAAAAAAUUCUAUUCUAUUCUAUUCUAUUCUAUUCUAUUCUAUUCUAUUCUAUUCUAUUCUAUUCUAUUCUAUUCUAUCUGAGAAAAUCCUAAGGUUCUUUAAAAUGGUGCUGAUCAGUUCUACUGGCUAUCUGCUUUCAUGGAUGCAUAACCUUGUAUCCUUGAAUCCUUUCAUGGAUACAUGAUGUUGCAAGAGCAAGGUUUUCUCUGCAUAGCUGUACAGAGAAAACUAUUGAAUUUGACACUUCUAUUCCUGCCCCUCCAGGAGAUAGAAUAGCACAUCUUAGAAUAUAGGGAGCUGUGCAAGUUGGUGUUUCUGCCUAUCAAGGAAGGCGAAGCAAAAUUAGUAGGAAUUCAUGUAUUCUGUUUGUGCUGAUCUCAAAGUAGGCUAGAGUUAAUUUUCUGAAACAGCAAGUCUUACAAGAAUUACUUUAGGGAAUCAAAAGGCAAUUCUGUUCAUCAAAAAGGCAAUUCUGUUCAUCUAAAGUAACAACAUUAUUUUGACUUUCAGUUGGAAUGCUUUAUGAAUUAAAAGGUCACAAAGACACUUCCUCUUUAAAUUGCAUAUGUGUAACUGUUCAUAAGAGUUAAAAGAAAUGUCAUGUACUGUUCCUGAUGGGUCAUAUUUAUUUCUUUGCUGGAGUGUCUACUUCUGUGCAAGUCUUUUAUGGAGAUUCUUUGAAAGAUAAAAUGAAUCUU